Molecule: ribosomal RNA, 566 nt
Filed under: uncultured eukaryote
Lineage: Eukaryota
Description: SSU rRNA
Rfam family: Eukaryotic small subunit ribosomal RNA
Source: RNAcentral
CUGGUUGAUCCUGCCAGUAGUCAUAUGCUUGUCUCAAAGAUUAAGCCAUGCAUGUCUAAGUACAUACUUUUGCACGGUGAAACCGCGAAUGGCUCAUUAAAUCAGUUAUGGUUCCUUAGAUAAUUCAUAUUGCAUGGAUAACUGUGGUAAUUCUAGAGCUAAUACAUGCAAAAAGCUCCGACCGUAUGGGAAGAGCGCUUUUAUUAGACCAAAACCAAUGGGGUCGCAAGAUCCCUUUGUAUGGUGACUCUGGAUAACUUUGUGCUGAUCGCAUGGCCUAGAGCCGGCGACGUAUCUUUCAAAUGUCUGCCCUAUCAACUUUCGAUGGUACGCGAUUUGCCUACCAUGGUUGUAACGGGUAACGGGGAAUCAGGGUUCGAUUCCGGAGAGGGAGCAUGAGAAAUGGCUACCACAUCUACGGAAGGCAGCAGGCGCGCAAAUUACCCACUCCUAGAACGGGGAGGUAGUGACGAAAAAUAACAAUACCGGACUCUAUGAGGCUCGGUAAUUGAAAUGAGUACAGUUUAAAACCCUUAACGAGGAUCUAUUGGAGGGCAAGUCUGGUA